CAGCUGUCCUUAACUAGGGAAGCUGCUUGGUGAAACACUUUUGUGUUGGUAUCCUUUAAGGACCCCUACAAAAGGCAAAUUAUCCAAG
The submitters of this non-coding RNA (88 nucleotides) gave its source as unclassified sequences. The record is from Rfam.